This 460-nucleotide ribosomal RNA is filed under the name uncultured bacterium. RNAcentral describes it as "partial 16S ribosomal RNA". It matches the Rfam family "Bacterial small subunit ribosomal RNA", at positions 338 to 795 of the family's 1533-position model. The record is from RNAcentral.
CCUACGGGAUGCAGCAGUGAGGAAUAUUGGUCAAUGGGCGGGAGCCUGAACCAGCCACGUCGCGUGAGGGAUGACGGUCCUACGGAUUGUACACCUCUUUUGCCGGGGAGCAAGCGUGCGUUCGUUAACGCUCGUCGAGAGUACCCGGAGAACAAGCAUCGGCUAACUCCGUGCCAGCAGCCGCGGUAAUACGGGGGCGGCGAGCGUUCUCCGGAUUUAUUGGGUUUAAAGGGUGCGUAGGCGGGAUGCCAAGCCAGCGGUAAAAAUGCGGGUCUCAACGCCGUCGAGCCGUUGAAACUGGCGUUCUUGAGUGGGCGAGAAGUAUGCGGAAUGCGUGGUGUAGCGGUGAAAUGCAUAGAUAUCACGCAGAACUCCGAUUGCGAAGGCAGCAUACCGGCGCCCUACUGACGCUGAGGCACGAAAGCGUGGGUAUCGAACAGGAUUAGAUACCCCUGGAGUC